Molecule: long non-coding RNA, 518 nt
Organism: Pollicipes pollicipes
Lineage: Eukaryota; Metazoa; Arthropoda; Thecostraca; Pollicipedomorpha; Pollicipedidae
Exons: 3
Source: RefSeq, a predicted model, not a curated record
UGGCGGCGGGUGGUGCGUUGAAGUCGCUGGGCGCGAGCGCCUGGGUAGAGGGGACCUGCGUGUGAUAUUGUGACGAGCGAGGCGUCCGAGGCGCGAGUGGUGGCCUUCGUCGCGAGCAGCGCGUUCGCCUCGCGCUCGUGGGAUCGUCGGCUCCGGGGACGAACGCGGAUCUGCGGAGUUUCUCUCCGGGAGUGACACGGAAGCCAGGUGCCGCCCAAAGCGAGCAGACCGGUUUUCCACGUCGGCCCGAGCCUCCGCGCCCAGCCUCGGGCCCGCAGCAUGGCCGCCGGCCGCCGCCUGCUCGGCGUGCUCCUUCUAUGCACAGCUCUAACUGUCGUCACCACCCAGACCUUCCCGCGGCGACGGCGACGACCGACGGACGCCCCGACGGACGCGCCGACGGCCGAUCCGACGGCGCCCUCCGCCGAGCCGAGCCGUCGCUUUCUCUCGGAGGAGGAGCACCAGCUGCUCACCAGCCCCAGCUUCGGCCAGCGGUUGACCACGCGCACUCUCCGCCG